GGGAUUGCCUCAGUAACGGCGAGUGAAGCGGCAACAGCUCAAAUUUUAAAGCUGGCGUCCUCGACGCCCGCGUUGUAAUUUGGAGAGGCAUCUUCGGUUUGGGCGCCAGCCUAUGUUCCUUGGAACAGGACGUCACAGAGGGUGAGAAUCCCGUGCUUGGCUGGCUGUCCCUCUCCAUGUGAAGUGUCUUCGACGAGUCGAGUUGUUUGGGAAUGCAGCUCAAAAUGGGUGGUAAAUUUCAUCUAAAGCUAAAUAUUGGCGGGAGACCGAUAGCGCACAAGUAGAGUGAUCGAAAGAUGAAAAGCACUUUGAAAAUAGAGUUAAAAAGUACGUGAAAUUGUUGAAAGGGAAGCGCUUGAGACCAGACUCGGCCGGAGACGAUCAGCGGUCCUUCUGGGCCGUGCACUCGUCCUCGGUUGGGCCAGCAUCGGUUGAGACGGUGGGAUAAAGGUCCGGGGAAUGUGGCUCCUUUCGGGGAGUGUUAUAGCCCCGGGCGCAAUGCCGCCAGUCUCGACCGAGGACCGCGCUCUUUUGCUAGGAUGCUGGCGUAAUGGUCUUCAGCGACCCGUCUUGAAACACGGACCAAGGAGUCUAACAUCUAUGCGAGUGUUUGGGUGUCAAACCCUUGCGCGUAAUGAAAGUGAACGUGGGUGGGAACCUCUCGUAAGGGGGGCGCACCAUCGACCGAUCCUGAUGUCUUCGGAUGGAUUUGAGUAGGAGCAUAGCUGUUGGGACCCGAAAGAUGGUGAACUAUGCCUGAAUAGGGUGAAGCCAGAGGAAACUCUGGUGGAGGCUCGCAGCGGUUCUGACGUGCAAAUCGAUCGUCAAAUUUGGGUAUAGGGGCGAAAGACUAAUCGAACCAUCUAGUAGCUGGUUCCUGCCGAAGUUUCCCUCAGGAUAGCAGUAACGAUCUCAG
This 916-nucleotide ribosomal RNA is filed under the name Maublancomyces montanus. Its description in RNAcentral is "Gyromitra montana partial large subunit ribosomal RNA". It matches the Rfam family "Eukaryotic large subunit ribosomal RNA", at positions 71 to 998 of the family's 3401-position model. The record is from RNAcentral. Lineage: Eukaryota; Fungi; Ascomycota; Pezizomycetes; Pezizales; Discinaceae.